UACGUAGGGACCGAGCGUUGUCCGGAUUCAUUGGGCGUAAAGAGCUCGUAGGCGGCCACUCAAGUCGAAUGUGAAACCUCGAGGCUUAACCUCGAGCCUGCAUUCGAUACUGGGCGGCUAGAGUCUGGUAGGGGGAUCUGGAAUUCCUGGUGUAGCGGUGGAAUGCGCAGAUAUCAGGAGGAACACCGGUGGCGAAGGCGGGUCUCUGGACAGUUCCUGACACUGAGACACGAAGGCCAGGGGAGCAAACGGG
RNAcentral lists this ribosomal RNA (253 nucleotides) under uncultured bacterium. RNAcentral describes it as "partial 16S ribosomal RNA". It matches the Rfam family "Bacterial small subunit ribosomal RNA", at positions 524 to 776 of the family's 1533-position model. The record is from RNAcentral.